AUGUGGCACUUUUUGGAUUUCGAGAUUCAAACAAGUCUAACUUUGAUCGUAAAUUUUUCAUAGAUCUUUUAAACAUUUUGAAUUAUCAAUUAUUGUGACUUAUAGUACUUUUUACGUAGUUUACAAAUAUAUAAAUUUUAUUUCAAAAAAAUUAAAGAUUUCAUGCGCAAAUUCCCGAUCAAACUUAAAAUAUUUGACUCUCGAAAAAUGAAAAUUGUCACGAAA
RNAcentral lists this microRNA precursor (225 nucleotides) under Solanum tuberosum (potato). RNAcentral describes it as "MIR8007 microRNA precursor family". It matches the Rfam family "MIR8007 microRNA precursor family". Lineage: Eukaryota; Viridiplantae; Streptophyta; Magnoliopsida; Solanales; Solanaceae. The record is from Rfam by way of RNAcentral.